Molecule: long non-coding RNA, 430 nt
Filed under: Lathyrus oleraceus (garden pea)
Lineage: Eukaryota; Viridiplantae; Streptophyta; Magnoliopsida; Fabales; Fabaceae
Description: Pisum sativum (pea) long non-coding RNA (PSAT_LNC035169)
Source: RNAcentral
AAAACUUCAAAUUAACCUACAUAUAUGUUACCCCCACCAACCCCCUUUCAUUUAUCAGCACCACCGCAGUGACCCCGUGGUCAACCUUGUCACCAUCUUUGCCAUCCUUGCUGUUCAACAAACUCUAAUGACUGAAGAAAACAUGCAAAUACAUCUACUUGGGCUGAGACAUAAUUGUUUAUUUACAUAACUAUGACAAAGCUUAAGUAAACAUCUAGUAGAUUAUAACUCAACCUACCACAAUCAAGUUUUGUUAGCAAAUGUAAUUGAAAAGAGGUAUUUACGGAAAUACAUUAUAUAAACUAUCAUUGUAAAACUAAGCUAUGAAGUAUAAACAAAGAACUUGAAUUACCUGUAAAAUGGUUGUAAAGAAGUUAGUGUGUUAACCCUUGAAAAUCUCAUAUGGAAAGUCUGAUAAAGGAGCAAAAUG